GGAAGUCAUCGUACACAAUUACAACCAAAUUGGAUAAUAAUUGCGCCCUAUAGUGACUCACGAAAUAAAAUUGGGAGCUAAAACACAUAAGAACUGCGCCCUCUGGAGGUUCAAGAAGUAUAAUCGGUAGAUUGGAUUAUAUGGGAAGUAUGUCAGGUUAUGAACCGGUUAUGACCAUACUUGGCACAUACUUACUUGUUGGAAGACAAAACAAACCACGUCAUGCAAAAUUUCAGCCAAAUCAGGUAAUAGCUGCGCCCUUUAAUCGUUCAAGAAAUCAAGAUCCGAGAUCGACUUGUAUGGGAACCGAUUAAUAUGAUAACCGAUUUGAAUCAUACUUAGCACAGUUAUUUGAAGUCAAAGCAAGAAACUUCAUGCAAAAUUUCAGCCCAAUCAGAUAAGUAUGGCGCUAACUAUAUAUGUUGGGAAAUACUUUUACUUUUAACUUUUAAAAAAGUUAAAACAGUUCGAUUUGGAAUCACUAUUCUCUACUUGGAUCUGCUGGAGCGCCUCUUCUGAUCGAUAAAUUAUUUUGCGAUUCAUAUUCAACAGGGAGUGUGUACAACUCUAUCAAUAAACAAAUAAAAAAAGUUAAUUAGCAAUAAAAUAAUACAUAAACUAUUCGACAAACAGAAUUCUGUCCUAUUUGUCGAAUGCAAAUAUGAACUAUUAAAAGGUGGCCAACCCACAACUGUUGUGCAAUUCAACAAAUAACAAAAUACAAACAAAAUGUAACUACAAUAAAUAUUGUAUGUUUUACUACGAAA
Long non-coding RNA from Stomoxys calcitrans (stable fly), 767 nucleotides. RefSeq lists it as uncharacterized. The record is from RefSeq and is a predicted model, not a curated record. The transcript is spliced from 2 exons. Lineage: Eukaryota; Metazoa; Arthropoda; Insecta; Diptera; Muscidae.